This 758-nucleotide ribosomal RNA is filed under the name uncultured Actinomyces sp. Its description in RNAcentral is "bacterial SSU rRNA". It matches the Rfam family "Bacterial small subunit ribosomal RNA", at positions 28 to 776 of the family's 1533-position model. The record is from RNAcentral. Lineage: Bacteria; Bacillati; Actinomycetota; Actinomycetes; Actinomycetales; Actinomycetaceae.
GACGAACGCUGGCGGCGUGCUUAACACAUGCAAGUCGAACGAAAAUACCAAGCUUGCUUGGUUGAUUAGUGGCGAACGGGUGAGUAACACGUGAGUAACCUGCCCCUUACUUUCCUGGAUAACUGCUCGAAAGGGUAGCUAAUACGGGAUAUUCUGACCAGCCUGCAUGGGUUGGUUUGGAAAGGUUGUUUUUCUGGUAAGGGAUGGGCUCGCGGCCUAUCAGCUUGUUGGUGGGGUGAUGGCCUACCAAGGCUUUGACGGGUAGCCGGCCUGAGAGGGUGGACGGUCACACUGGGACUGAGAUACGGCCCAGACUCCUACGGGAGGCAGCAGUGGGGAAUAUUGCACAAUGGGCGCAAGCCUGAUGCAGCGACGCCGCGUGAGGGAUGAAGGCCUUCGGGUUGUAAACCUCUUUCGUCAGGGAACAAGGCAUUGCCUUUUUUGGUGGUGUUGAGGGUACCUGGAUAAGAAGCGCCGGCUAACUACGUGCCAGCAGCCGCGGUAAUACGUAGGGCGCAAGCGUUGUCCGGAAUUAUUGGGCGUAAAGAGCUCGUAGGCGGCUGGUCGCGUCUGUCGUGAAAACUUCCGGCUCAACCGGGGGCUUGCGGUGGGUACGGGCCGGCUAGAGUGCGGUAGGGGUAACUGGAACUCCUGGUGUAGCGGUGGAAUGCGCAGAUAUCAGGAAGAACACCGAUGGCGAAGGCAGGUUACUGGGCCGUUACUGACGCUGAGGAGCGAAAGCGUGGGGAGCGAACAGG